RNAcentral lists this ribosomal RNA (497 nucleotides) under uncultured bacterium. Its description in RNAcentral is "partial 16S ribosomal RNA". It matches the Rfam family "Bacterial small subunit ribosomal RNA", at positions 28 to 507 of the family's 1533-position model. The record is from RNAcentral.
GAUGAACGCUGGCGGCGUGCCUAAUACAUGCAAGUCGAGCGAACAGACGAGGAGCUUGCUCCUCUGACGUUAGCGGCGGACGGGUGAGUAACACGUGGAUAACCUACCUAUAAGACUGGGAUAACUUCGGGAAACCGGAGCUAAUACCGGAUAAUAUAUUGAACCGCAUGGUUCAAUAGUGAAAGACGGUUUUGCCGUCACUUAUAGAUGGAUCCGCGCCGCAUUAGCUAGUUGGUAAGGUAACGGCUUACCAAGGCGACGAUGCGUAGCCGACCUGAGAGGGUGAUCGGCCACACUGGAACUGAGACACGGUCCAGACUCCUACGGGAGGCAGCAGUAGGGAAUCUUCCGCAAUGGGCGAAAGCCUGACGGAACAACGCCGCGUGAGUGAUGAAGGUCUUCGGAUCGUAAAACUCUGUUAUUAGGGAAGAACAAAUGUGUAAGUAACUAUGCACGUCUUGACGGUACCUAAUCAGAAAGCCACGGCUAACUACGUG